CCUACGGGUGGCUGCAGUGGGGAAUAUUGGACAAUGGGGGGAACCCUGAUCCAGCCAUGCCGCGUGUGUGAAGAAGGCCCUCGGGUUGUAAAGCACUUUCAGUGAGGAAGAACGCCUGGUGGUUAAUACCCAUCAGGAAAGACAUCACUCACAGAAGAAGCACCGGCUAACUCCGUGCCAGCAGCCGCGGUAAUACGGAGGGUGCGAGCGUUAAUCGGAAUUACUGGGCGUAAAGCGCGCGUAGGUGGCUUGAUAAGCCGGUUGUGAAAGCCCCGGGCUCAACCUGGGAACGGCAUCCGGAACUGUCAAGCUAGAGUGCAGGAGAGGAAGGUAGAAUUCCCGGUGUAGCGGUGAAAUGCGUAGAGAUCGGGAGGAAUACCAGUGGCGAAGGCGGCCUUCUGGACUGACACUGACACUGAGGUGUGAAAGCGUGGGUAGCAAACAGGAUUAGAUACCCGAGUAGUC
Molecule: ribosomal RNA, 465 nt
Filed under: Vreelandella stevensii
Lineage: Bacteria; Pseudomonadati; Pseudomonadota; Gammaproteobacteria; Oceanospirillales; Halomonadaceae
Description: partial 16S ribosomal RNA
Rfam family: Bacterial small subunit ribosomal RNA
Source: RNAcentral